CCUACGGGAGGCAGCAGUGGGGAAUAUUGGGCAAUGGUCGCAAGCCUGACCCAGCAAAGCCGCGUGAAGGAAGAAGGCUUUCGGGUUGUUAACUUCUUUUAUUAGGGACGAAGCAACUGACGGUACCUCAGGAAUAAGCCUCGGCUAACUACGUGCCACCAGCCGCGGUAAUACGUCGGCGGCGAGCGUUAGUCGGAGUGACUGGGUGUACAGGGUGCGUAGGUGGUAUGGCAAGUGAGUAGGUAAAUUCCAGGGCUCAACCUUGGAACUACUGCUAAAACUGUUGGACUUGAGUGCAGGAGAGGCAACCGGAAUGCCUAGUGUAGCGGUGGAAUGCGUAGAUAUUAGGAGGAACACCAGUGGCGAAGGCGGGUUGCUGGACUGUAACUGACGCUGAGGCACGAAAGCGUGGGGAGCAAACAGGAUUAGAUACCCCGGUAGUC
Molecule: ribosomal RNA, 443 nt
Filed under: uncultured bacterium
Lineage: Bacteria
Description: partial 16S ribosomal RNA
Rfam family: Bacterial small subunit ribosomal RNA
Source: RNAcentral